AAUGUCCCCUUUGUCAUUCUGAUUGUGUUUUUCUCUUUUUUUUAUUAGUCUAGCUAGCAGUCUAAUUUCUUCCAAGGAACAAACUCCUGGAUUCGUUGACCUUUUGUAUGGUUUUUCUUCUCAUUUUUCUUCAAUUUAGCUCUGAUUUUGGUUAUUUAUUUUGUCUUCUGCUAACUUUCGGGUUGGGUUGCUCUUUUCUCUCUCUUUUUCUUCUUCUUCUUUUUUUUUUUAAAUAGGUUUCAUUAUGUUUCCAGUGUAGGAUUGUGACAUGCCUCCUCAUUUCACUGUGAGCCAUUCCCUUGACUCUAAGCUAAAUUAGUGCACUACUUCUUACAAGAGUGUAUCUUUGACAACCUAAAAUAAUUAGGUUACUAUGGCAUACAAAAUUAUAACCUACUCUAUAGUAUGUUUGUGAUAAUCAUUUAUAAUGGUAAAACUGUAAAACAAAAGCUGUAUUGAUAAUUGUCGAUAAAAAUGUGAACUACAUAGAUAUUUUGCUUAUGCUGCCUAGUCUACUUUGGCAGUUUGCAUCUGGGUGUAAAAAUCCUUCUAAAAAACAGGUAAGACAUUUGUGAGGCUGAGGAAAAUACAUUAUAAAGAGGGUAGUAAAGAUUUUUCUUCUUCUUUUGUGUGUGUAAAUGUUUUAUUAUUAUUCAAGUAAUACGUGAAUACAUGCUCAUUUGUACAAGAAUUCAAACCAUGUGUAAAUAUAUAGAGUAAAAUGUGAAAAUAUUCCUUCAGUUACCGCCUACCACUGUCCCUCCAGAGGAAGCUACUAUUAAGAAUUUGAUUUGUAUCCUUUUCCGCCAACAUGGUUACACAUAUUAAGGUAACUAAAAGGGAGAAAAAGUCAGUUUAACAAAGAAGUUAACCAUGCUUUCUUUGAAGCUGGGCUUCCUGGGUUAAAACCCAGAUUCUGUUACUUAAUGUUGUGUGAUAUUGGUGAUGUUAUCUAAUGUCUCUGUGCCUGGGUUUCCUCAUAGGUAAAAUGGGGAUAUUAAGCGCUUCAUAGACAUGUUAUGAGGAUGUCUUUAGCAUGUGUGAAGUAUUUAGAAUAGUGCCUGGCAUAUAGUGCACACAAUUCAUCAUGGAAUCAUGAUGCAUAUAUUGUUUCACAACUUGUAUUCUGUACACAUAGGGGAAAUGUAGUGUAGCCAUUAAGAGCAUGGAUUCUGGUUCUGAAUCCAAUUAUCAGGUGCAAAUCCUAGUUCUAUCAUUUACUAGCUUUAUGCCUGUCAGGAAGUAUAUAAACUUCCUUUGUUUUCUCUGUAAAAUGGGGGUAGUAGCUUUAGCUCUAAAUUAAGUACUAUAUAUAGGACAUUUAGAAUGACUGACAUGUAGUAAUUACUCUGUAGAUGCUUAUUAUUAUUAUGUCAUUGAAAGCACUCAGUUUAUUAUUUCAUGUUAUAGAUAUAUUAUAAUUAAUUUAACAAUUCGUAGUUGAUGGUCAUUUAGAUUACUUCUAAAUAUUCAUUGUUACAAAAUAUUCUGGUAUCCAUACUUUAACUAAAGAUGGAAUUACCAUUUGACCCAUUAGACCCACUGCUGGGUACCUAUCAGAAGAAAAAUAAAUUGUUAUGUAAAAAAAAACACCUGUACUUGUGUGUUUAUCACAGCACUAUUCACAAUAGAAAAGUCAUGGAAUCAAUUUGAGUGUCCAUCAGUAGAUGAUUGGAUAAAGAAAAUAUGGUAUAUACACACAAUAGAAUACUACCCAGCCAUAAAAUAAGAGUGAAAUCAUGUCUUUUGCAGCAGCAUGAAUGGAGUUUGAGGCCAUUAUCCUAAGUGAAAUAACUUAGAAAGAGAAAACAAAAUACCACACUUUCCCACUUACAAGUGGGAGCUAAAUGGGUAUAAAUGAGCAUACGGAGGAAAAUAAUAGACACUGGAGACUACAGAAGGGGGCAGGUUGGGAGGGGGAUGAGGGUUGAAAAAUUACCUGUUGGGUACAAUGCUCACUUUUCAGGUGAUGGGUAUGCUAGAAGCCUAAACUCCACCACUGCACAAUAUAUCCAUGUAACAAACCUGCACAUGUACCCCAUGAAUCUAUAAAUAUUUUUUAAAAAUUAAAAUAACCUUGUCUCUGCCUUAACUUGUAUGAAAAAAAGCUAGUGCUAUUAACAUUUUCCCAUUCUCAUUGUUACUGAAAACUUGAAUAAACAUUUUCAAGAUCCUCUUUUGGAUCACUACCAUACCGAACAUGUGAUCAAUCCAUGUCAUUUUCUUAUUAGUUUGGUUCAAUCCCAGGGUGUGAGUGGAAAGCAGAACAAUUUGUGUGGUUAAAGCUUUAUUUUUGAAGAGUAAACGAAAUAUGAGAACUAAAUGAGCCAAACAGGACAUCUUCUGUGUUUUUACUGUUGGAGUCUCAGAAAAACAAAUCUUUAGGUAUCCUGAUAUUUCAAAAAGGAAUAUACUAGAAACUUACUUUGUAAAACUUGUCUAACAAAAUGCUUAGAGAAGCUUUCCUAAUUGAUCUUCUGUACAAAGAACAGAAAUAUGCAAAAUUUUGCAAACCAUUUACAUGUAAGAAGACUGAAAAGGAAACUUGGAAAAAGAAGAUUUUAGAUAGAGAAGAAAAUUCACUUUCCUCUGCUAAGAUGGAAAAUCAAGAAACAACUAGGAAAGAAAGUGUAACAGAGCAAAAUGAUGAUACAGAUCAAAUAAAAUCUGUGGAUGAGACAACUGUAGCAAAAUGCAAAGGUAUUACCUCUUCCAGGAAAUGUGUCAGUUGCGUUGCCCAUUUCAAAGAGAGAAAAACAUGAUCAAAGACAACUAGAUUUAUAUAGAUCCUGGUUGUGUAUGAGUAUUUGUCACAAUUAUUCUGACCUACAGAUUGGAGGUGACGAUGUGAGGAACAUGUGUGAUUCAGGCUGCUUUACGGAACACACACAUAAUGAUGUUUUUAAUGGUCCCCUUUUGUUUUCAGUUGGUAGGCCACUGGGUCAUUCUCCUGUCAUUGGGCCUCUAGAGACAUUACCUACCUCAAAAUUAUUGAAUGGGGAUGAAAGCCAAGAAAAAAGUAUGUUGUUUCAUAAACAGCCCCUCUCUAAUUCUAUGCUUAAUACUUAUAUGGAAAGAAAGGUGGACUAGCUCUGCAAACAAUUAUUGGAAGAAAAUCUCACCAGAUGCCACUCUGUAACCAAUCUUAUGGCUUCCAAUUUGCUAAUGAAUAAUGUAAAUUACAUCAGCUUUCAAAUCUCUCAAGAGCAGAACAUUGAGUUAUGGAAAGCUCAGGAAGCUGCCCUACACUCUACCACUAUGUAAUCUGUGUAACAUUUCUCAUGGAAAGAGUGGAAAGAGUUCUUAAUUCAGUACCCCUGACUUACAAAUAUCGAACCAGACAAGUAGGGAACUUCUAUCACAUCUACAGUAGAUAACAAAUGUAGGUUGUUUGGACAGACUUAAGAGACUGCAAUAACAAGAGUUUUUUCUAGCUUAUCAUGUCACAUCUAGCCUUCUUUGGGGUGUGGUUAUUAUAGUUUUUGAGAAAUGAUUUGACCCAUGGUACAUCUGAAUUCUUAUAGGAGACAACUAUAGUAACUACGUUUUAGAGUGCAAGUUCUUAAUGUGUUGAUAUUUUAAUAGUUGCCAAACUAAACUCUGUAUGCGUUUACCUAUUUAAUUGUCACUGGCACCCCAAAUCAAUUACCUCAGUGUCGCACAGCUUUAUUUACAACAAAAAUGGGAUGAGGAGUGGAUUAUUGCUCCAAGAUACUGAAGGACCAUGAGAAGGUAUAUCAGAGAGGGACAUUUAUUUCCCCACAAAAACGCAUUUAUACUGACAAUCAAAAUAGUCUAGGGGAAAUUAUGAUAUGUAGUUAUGGAUAUGGAUAUCUAUAUCUGGAUAUCUAUAUGUGGAUAUCUAUAUCUGGAUAUCUAUAUGUGGAUAUCUAUAUCUGGAUAUCUAUAUGUGGAUAUCUAUAUAUCAAGAUUGAGUAUGGGGACAUAUAAAAGGAAAUACUUUAAACAAAAGUCAAAUUUAAAUGAUGUUUGAAAGAAACAUGGAGGGAGGGCUUAAGGAAAAAUGGAAAAUUUGUAAGUACCAUUUAUAUUGAAACUUGGUGCUUUGGAACUUUCCUGGAACGAGCAUUAACUGUUUUAUAUCACUGUUAUCUCUGGUUGUUUUUAGAGAUGGGAGGAAAAAAAACACACAGGUAGAGUGAAGAAAGUAGAGAACCACCAUUUAGAAAUAAAAAGGUUCUCAGCAACUUAUUACACAUCAGAUUAUCCUCAAUCAUGAUCCUGGCAGUAGUUUAUUAUGGAAAUUUUCGGAUCCAAAUUAAAUAAAUUAACAAAAUAUAUCUAAAGUAACAGUAUAAUUUAUUGCAGACUUGGAAAGAAGACUCCAUACUUUUAAUAGAAAUAGGAAAAUGAUAGACAUGCACUUCUGUGUUGUAAAAUAAAAUGGUAUUAAUUUCUGUUAUAGAAUUCUUACAAUUGCAUUAUGCAUUAAUAAGAUUUGUGCAUUGACAAUCAUAUAUUCCCUUCCAUCCCUUCCAAUUUUUUCUUGGGUCUUUGAUUAACUCUUGUAGAAUGAGUCACUGUAAUGCCCUAAUAGCUCGUUUUUUAUGAUCACACAAUACUUCGUUUAUUUUCACCCUCUUCAAAUGUAUAUGAUCUAAUAAUAGUAAGUACCCCUGAUUUGUCUUCUGUUUUUCUCUUUAUUGCUCCCUUCCACACCAUCCUCUACCAUAACCAUACCAAUUAAUGUUUAUCAUUCAGACAUUUGAUUCUGAAGAGACAAUGAGUAAGAGUUUAAAGUAACUCAGUAUCUUUAGAUAUUGAAAAAAAGUUGUAUGUAUAUUGUCUUUUAUGCUGUUAAAUUUCGGCAUUUUAAUAGGAGAGUUACUAAAAUUAUGAAAUAUUAAUGUUAACAUUUACAAAAGUGAAUUAAAUAUCAUGGGACAGUAUUACUAGUGUGGAUUGUUUUCUUAGGUCCAGUAAUAUGUAUUAAUAUUUUAUGAAACAGAUAUAUUCAUAAAGUGUUGAAAUUACAUAGUAUCAUAUACAAAACCACAGUAUUUAGUAUAUAUCAAAUUUAUAAAUGCAUUUAAUUACGCUCUCAUAUUUAAAAUUUCCCCCUCUUUAUCUGUGUCAUCAAAAUAUUUAUCAUCUAAAGAUACUCACUUAUGGUUAAAAUGGUUUAAAAAUAUAAUGCAAUUCUUAAGUAAGGAAAGAUGAUGAAUUUGGUGUUACGUUUUAUCCUGACCUCAUACCUACUGACUUCAGUGCUUGAAUGAAAUAUGCAUAUGACGUUGUGAUUUAGCAUAGUUUGGCUUUAAGUAGUCAUUCUUCAUUCUGUUGUUCACCAUCGGUAUUAUUUAUAUGACCAUAAUGUUCCCUUUCAAAACAUUUUUUGAAAUGUAUGGAAUAAUAAAUUUCUUUUUGUCUCACA
Molecule: long non-coding RNA, 5395 nt
Organism: Homo sapiens (human)
Lineage: Eukaryota; Metazoa; Chordata; Mammalia; Primates; Hominidae
Exons: 2
Source: RefSeq, a predicted model, not a curated record